AGAUUGAACGCUUAGCGGUCAUGCCCUAACACAUGCAAGUCGAGGCGGCAGCGCGGGGGCGACCCUGGCGGCGAGCGGCGGACGGGUGAGUAAGGCAUCGGAAUCUGCCCUGAUGUGGGGGAUAACGUAGGGAAACUUACGCUAAUACCGCAUACGACCGAGAGGUGAAAGCGGGGGACCGAAAGGCCUCGCGCAGCAGGAUGAGCCGAUGUCCGAUUAGCUAGUUGGUGGGGUAACGGCCUACCCAAGGCGACGAUCGGUAGUUGGUACUUGGAGAGGGAUGAUCAGCCACACUGGGACUGAGACAC
RNAcentral lists this ribosomal RNA (308 nucleotides) under uncultured prokaryote. RNAcentral's name for it is "bacterial SSU rRNA". It matches the Rfam family "Bacterial small subunit ribosomal RNA", at positions 26 to 327 of the family's 1533-position model. The record is from RNAcentral.